AUGCAGAGAACUUUCCAGAGAUGGAUUGGUGCCUUCGGGAACUCUGACACAGGUGCUGCAUGGCUGUCGUCAGCUCGUGUCGUGAGAUGUUGGGUUAAGUCCCAUAACGAGCGCAACCCUAUCAUUAGUUGCCAUCAGGUCAAGCUGGGGACUCUAAUGAAACUGCCUACGCAAGUAGUGAGGAAGGUGGGGAUGACGUCAAAUCAGCACGGCCCUUACGCCCAGGGCUACACACGUGCUACAAUGGCCGAUACAAAGGGCAGCGACACUGCGAGGUGAAGCCAAUCCCGUAAAAUCGGUCUCAGUCCGGAUUGGAGUCUGCAACUCGACUCCAUGAAGUUGGAAUCGCUAGUAAUCGUGGAUCAGCAUGCCACGGUGAAUACGUUCCCGGGCCUU
This 396-nucleotide ribosomal RNA is filed under the name uncultured Desulfobulbus sp. RNAcentral describes it as "bacterial SSU rRNA". It matches the Rfam family "Bacterial small subunit ribosomal RNA", at positions 986 to 1382 of the family's 1533-position model. Lineage: Bacteria; Pseudomonadati; Thermodesulfobacteriota; Desulfobulbia; Desulfobulbales; Desulfobulbaceae. The record is from RNAcentral.